This 901-nucleotide ribosomal RNA is filed under the name uncultured Bacillota bacterium. RNAcentral describes it as "bacterial SSU rRNA". It matches the Rfam family "Bacterial small subunit ribosomal RNA", at positions 60 to 936 of the family's 1533-position model. The record is from RNAcentral. Lineage: Bacteria; Bacillati; Bacillota.
AGUCGAACGCGAAAGUUCCCUUCGGGGAACAAGUAGAGUGGCGCACGGGUGAGUAACACGUAGGUAAUCUACCUUUGGAUUGGGAAUAACACCGAGAAAUCGGUGCUAAUACCGAAUAAUGCAGCGGCACCUAAUGGUGACAGUUGUUAAAGCGGGGGAUCGCAAGACCUCGCGUCUAAAGAGGAGCCUGCGGCGGAUUAGCUAGUUGGUAAGGUAACGGCUUACCAAGGCGAUGAUCCGUAGCCGGCCUGAGAGGGCGGUCGGCCACACUGACACUGACAUACGGGUCAGACUCCUACGGGAGGCAGCAGUCGGGAAUUUUGGGCAAUGGGCGAAAGCCUGACCCAGCAACGCCGCGUGAAGGAUGAAAUCCCUCGGGAUGUAAACUUCGCAAGAACGGGAAGAAUAAGUCGGUGCUAACACCAUCGGCGAUGACGGUACUGUUUGUAAGCUCCGGCUAACUCCGUGCCAGCAGCCGCGGUAAUACGGGGGGAGCAAGCGUUGUUCGGAUUUACUGGGCGUAAAGGGCGCGUAGGCGGCCACCGCAAGUCGACUGUGAAAUCUCCGGGCUUAACUCGGAAAGGUCAGCCGAUACUGCGGGGCUAGAGUGCAGAAGGGGCAACUGGAAUUCUCGGUGUAGCGGUGAAAUGCGUAGAUAUCGAGAGGAACACCUGCGGCGAAGGCGGGUUGCUGGGCUGACACUGACGCUGAUUGUGCGAAAGCUAGGGGAGCGAACGGGAUUAGAUACCCCGGUAGUCCUAGCCUUAAACGAUGAAUGCUUGGUGUCUGGGGUUUUAUAGUCCCCGGGUGCCGUCGCUAACGCUUUAAGCAUUCCGCCUGGGGAGUACGGUCGCAAGACUGAAACUCAAAGGAAUUGACGGGGACCCGCACAAGCGGUGGA